GCUUUGAUAGCUCAGUUGGUAGAGCAUCUCAUUCGUAAUGAGAGGGUCGCCGGUUCGAGUCCGGCUCGAAGCU
This 73-nucleotide transfer RNA is filed under the name Lachnospiraceae bacterium. RNAcentral's name for it is "tRNA-Thr". It matches the Rfam family "tRNA". From Rfam's summary of the family: Transfer RNA (tRNA) molecules are approximately 80 nucleotides in length. Lineage: Bacteria; Bacillati; Bacillota; Clostridia; Lachnospirales; Lachnospiraceae. The record is from RNAcentral.